RNAcentral lists this ribosomal RNA (253 nucleotides) under uncultured bacterium. RNAcentral's name for it is "partial 16S ribosomal RNA". It matches the Rfam family "Bacterial small subunit ribosomal RNA", at positions 524 to 776 of the family's 1533-position model. The record is from RNAcentral.
UACAGAGGGGGCUAGCGUUAUGCGGAAUUAUUGGGCGUAAAGGGCGCGUAGGCGGCCAUGCGUGUCUUCCGUGAAAUCCCUCGGCUUAACCGAGGACGUGCGGAAGAAACUGCAAGGCUCGAGUCCGGGAGAGGGGGGUGGAAUUCCCAGUGUAGCGGUGAAAUGCGUAGAUAUUGGGAGGAACACCGGUGGCGAAGGCGGCCCCCUGGACCGGUACUGACGCUGAGGCGCGAAAGCGUGGGUAGCAAACGGG